CCCUUAGAUGUUCUGGGCCGCACGCGUGCUACACUGAUGCAUUCAACGAGUCUAAAACCUGGUCUGAUAGGGCUGGGUAAUCUUUUGAAAGUGCAUCGUGAUUGGGAUAGAUGAUUGCAAUUCUUCAUCUUCAACGAGGAAUGCCUAGUAAACGCAAGUCAUCAGCUUGCAUUGAUUACGUCCCUGCCCUUUGUACACACCGCCCGUCGCUCCUACCGAUUGAAUGAUCCGAUGAAUAUCAUGGAUUGAGGAUUAUAGCAGGUUCGCCUGUCUUGAUCUUCGAGAAGUGAAGUAAAUCUUAUCAUUUAGAGGAAGGAGAAGUCGUAACA
Molecule: ribosomal RNA, 329 nt
Filed under: uncultured eukaryote
Lineage: Eukaryota
Description: partial 18S ribosomal RNA
Rfam family: Eukaryotic small subunit ribosomal RNA
Source: RNAcentral